RNAcentral lists this ribosomal RNA (438 nucleotides) under Lactobacillus crispatus. RNAcentral's name for it is "bacterial SSU rRNA". It matches the Rfam family "Bacterial small subunit ribosomal RNA", at positions 1100 to 1533 of the family's 1533-position model. Lineage: Bacteria; Bacillati; Bacillota; Bacilli; Lactobacillales; Lactobacillaceae. The record is from RNAcentral.
AACCCCUAUCUUUAGUUACUAACAUUAAGUUGAGGACUCUAGAGAUACUGCCUGGGUAACUGGGAGGAAGGUGGGGAUGACGUCAAAUCAUCAUGCCUCUUACGAGUGGGGCCACACACGUGCUACAAUGGUCGGUACAAAGAGAAGCAAUAUGGCGACAUGGAGCAAAUCUCAAAAAGCCGAUCUCAGUUCGGAUUGGAGUCUGCAAUCCGACUCCAGGAAGUCGGAAUCGCUAGUAAUCGCAGCUCAGCUAGGCUGCGGUGAAUACGUUGUCGGGUCUUGUACACGCCGCCCGUCACGCCAUGGGAGCUUGUAAUACCCAAAGUCGGUUUGCUAACCUCGGAGGCGACCGCCUAAGGUAGGAUUGGUGACUGGGGUGAAGUCGUAACAAGGAAUCCCAACGAGAACGUGGGGAUGGAUAACCUCCUUUCUACGGAG